ACAUUCAUUCAAUUUCACACAAUUCAAUACAUACAUUGCACAUUCUUUCCUAGUGUGUUACAAUUUUGACACCUAGGGUAUCACACAAGAACGCUGAGAAGACAAGUGUAUGUAUUGUGGAAGGCAAACUACGCGUAACCUGGUACCAAAUUACAUUCGAUCGCCUGGCAUACCAGUUAACGCUACACAGAUUUAUCAAGUAACUGCAGCAAAGUUGACGCCGCCGGUACACACUCUUAUUCAUCCUUUGCUUACUUCACAACAUAACUAUACCAAAUUUGCAAAUGAUUUCGAUUCAUUCAUAUACAGAACGCUGCAAAGGACUCCAUGCAGAUAUGGUGGAUCGCCUGAGUUAAGCAGCAAGCUGGAUUGAACGAGACUUCCCGUUUGUGAAUCCGAGAAGACACCCCCGCGUGACGGCUCACCUCAACGGGCGCUGACGAGGAAAGGAUGCUGGCAUACGCCGCACUCGAUCGUCUCUGAACCAGAAGUUGGAACUUGGACCUGGAGCAAGGUAAAUUUGUUGUGCCAUGUUCAGAUGUCGAUUCUCAGGCAGACACUAGACGAUGGAUUUUAAAAGAAUUGUAGCAACGAUCAACCUGAAGAUGGACCGUGCAGAUAGGGCAUGCAACUUCCCGCAUUCGCUUGCCAGAAGCAUCUGAAGACCUUGUCCCUGUCAAGGGAUAAAACAUUUAUACAUUGUAACGGCACAGUUGAGGGCAUAUCUUUAUCUGGUAUGGGCUACAGAGAUGAAUCCACUCACCUGAAGAUGACCUUUUAUUUAUAUCCAUGGCUUCCUGUUGAAAACAACAGAUUAUCCUCAGUCAGCAUGUUCAAAUUUGAAAAGUAGAUAUGUAUCAACUGGGAUUCACCAUUGACAAACAAGUGGGUGAUGUCUGCCUCCAUUUGUCACUUACAUUGGUACAAUAGGCUAAAAGUAUUUUCAGUAAAGCUGGUGUGGAGCAUUUUGACAUUUUAAUUUUUAUAUAUUAGGCUAUUAGCACUCCGGGGUAAAUCUGAUCUCAUGCGCUUAAUAAAAAUAAAAUGGUGCGCAGUCGCAACAAAGUAGACUAUUAUCUCUUGAAAGUGAACUAGAAAGCUCUGUUGGUUGAGUAUAACCGUACAAGAUAAUGGACCUCAAAAGAAACAGAGGAGCUAACAAACACACCUGAAGUUUUUUGGCAAGAUCCUCAUGGCUGUGAACAAUUGGUCGAUUUGCCGCUUCCCUUGCAUUGGCAAGUCUUUGUGUUACUUCAGCCUAUGACAGGAAGGCAUGAUAUGAAAUUAAUAUAGCUCACUCAUUAUGGAAAUGUACAUUCACGGGCCACUCCAAACAGGCCUGUUAAACAUUACAGACACUGUUGACAAAACUACAGUUUUUAUUGGCUGAAAAGGAAUCCACAAAUUGGUAUGAAUCAUCCAUUUUCUUAGACAAGAAAAGACACUAUCUGUGUAAACUAACCCCCUCAUUUUCCCCCACAGAACAGUACAAAGAACACAGUAGCUUCUUGUUGAGAAAAGAAAGGUAGGAACGAUAAAGCCUCAGUGCCUUAAAUGAAUAAUAAAGCCUCAAAUCAAAUAUCUAGUAGUUCUACAAUAUCUUGGGCCUAGCUUAUAAAUUAUUAAAUGGAACAGGUUAUGUUGUUAAAGUGGCAAGAUUUCUUUUCUAAUGUUUAUGCCCCGAGUCCUUAAGCAGAAGAAAACACGAAACCAAGGAGUUAAAUAACUAGCAUAACAUAAAUAAGAGCAGGUAAUGCAAUGGAAAUCCGGAAAAGGAUUGAAAAAACAGCUACCAUGCAUCUGUCACAAACUCGGACUGGUUGAGCAUCAGCAUCUGUAGUUAGAGGAGUCCUUCCCUGGGUGCACUUGUCACAGAAAAUAUCACCACAGUUUCGACAGUGAUGCUGAAAAUAUAAUAGGCUUGCCACGUUAAAAGAUAUUCAAGUGACAUCAUCAGCGAAUCAAUAUUUUUUUUCAUUUUUUUCUCGAACACGCAGGAGAGCUGCGUAUCUUUGUAUUAAGAGAAUAACCAGAUCAAUAUUUAACCGUUCUUUACCCUGCGGUUGAAAGCACUGAAAUCUGCUGCACAUGCCGUGCACUUGGUGACAGCUUCAUCUGGGACCUAAAAGAAAGUUUGGAGGGAACAUUUAAUUUGAUUAGCAAAGGUGAGUCAAUGAAUAAAACAAGAAUUAAGAAAAAGGAACUAUAGAAAGAAAUGAGCAAACACAUUUACAUGUGACAUAACAGGUACGAACCCAUAAGUAGAAUGCAGAUAAUAGUAUGCGAGACAGGCUCUACUAUGAUAUUAUCAAACAGAAAUAACAUAAAACCAACAAUACAAAAUGCAGAGCUAUAGGAUAAGCCAUAAAUCAAACUAAUAGCAAUUUGGCAACAGAGCUAACUUUGAAUCUAGCUUUGCAGAUUAUGCAGGAAUUACAAGUUUGAAAUGAUUGCAAAACACAGAUAAAGAGAGAUCAAUUACCCAGUGAUCUUAGAUUAUGCACGAAUUACAAGUUUGAAAUGACAGCAAAACACAGAUAGAGAUAGAUUAAUUACCCAGUGAUCUUUCUCCUCAUUCAUAGGCUUCACUAAAUUCCUCAAAUCAGGGAAAAUUCUCCUCCUCUCAUUUUGCUGCUCAGCAGGCUUGGCUGCAUCAGCAAUUGCUCUACUUCUUGAAAUGCUGCUUCCACCCAUCUCCUUGAACUGCAGUCCAAAGAAAGCAACGACCAUCAAUCAUUUUGGGCAAGCCAUGUAUAGUGCAACAAAACAAAUUAUAAAGAGCUGUCAGAUGAACAAAAUUAUGUUGAUAAGGUAAAUGCCACACCUGCACAGUCGCAGCUGUUACAGUGUCUAAGAUGGUGUUGGAUGUAUAGCUGUUUGAUUUCAGCCUUAUUCUUUUUGCUUCAACAUCCACUGAACUCUUGGACCAAAAGGCAAAGAUAGAAGAAUCUAAUACCUGACACAGAAAUCAUAAGACCAACAAAAUAAAUACUAAAAUAAUGAUAACUACUUUCUUACAAAGGUGCCACAAGAACACAAUUUACUUACAUCCCAUCUAGUUACAGUUUCAAGGGGAUAUAUUCUUAAAGUCCUACUAGUGUUGGGAUCAAGCAUCCGGAUUCCAUCCAAACCAACCUGCAUAAGGCACAAGCAGAGAAGUAUUGGUUAAUGCCUGCUGGAUCAUACCAAGUUACAACAUGUCAAUUAUAAACAUCCAUUCCUACAAGAGCUAAAUGCAGAAGUUUACAGGUUUAUUAAACCAGUAUUGUUUAGUAAAUUUAAAUGUGACUAUUUUGGCAAGAACAUUCUUGUACUGGCCUGUUCAUUUUCAGUUCCAUGCAAAUUCACAACCAACUGUUAACAUGUGCAUUUUAGGUCAGCUUCCAUAGAUGUCAAUAACAGAGCUUUUCGGUUUUCUUCAUUUUUCGUCUUGAUAGUUGAUAGCCUGCAAACCUACGAGCUCAAUAUAAUUUAUAAUUUUCAUUUGACUCGGCAAUACUAACUACACUAGAAAUGCACUCGGAAACCGAUUGAUAUUUCUUUUUCUCGAAUAUGGAGGAAUCUACCAGUUCAUUUGCAAUAUAUAAUUAUAUACUGCAGAUUAAAACAUCAACAUUAGUAUCCUGCCACAAUGUCAUUGUUGUUGAAAUUCCAGGAAAAAACAGCAGGUGCUUUUUAUACUGCAGUAGCUACAUAUAAACUUUGCAAGAAGACGAUGCCAGGAACUUUCCCAGUAUAUCUUGCAGUUGAUUAUAAGUAAACCAAACAGGUUGACUUGGGCCAGAAUCCCGCAAUAGGCCAUUCAUUUCAUACUGAGCCUCAGCAAAAUGUUGCAAAUAUCAGGUCCAGAAACAUGUCCCUGGUGCCAAUUUGGUGAAUAUUCAAUUUUCCCCCUAAAUGCACCACUACUGGUUACAUGACCAAGCUCAUCUACUAGUCACCCCUUCUGUGUAAUGUAAAUUUCCAAGUAAAUUGAAGCCAGCUCUGAACAUCUUAUGCUUAUUCACGCACUACUAUCAAAUGCAAUCUAUUCGCACCCUAAAAGGAUCAAUUGUAGGGUUAGCAGCCUCUAAAAUGAGCUAAGGUUCUGCAUUCAGAUUUGUUCAAAAACUCGGAAGCUCAUCCAUGACAAUGUUCACAAAAUUCAUCCCAUUACAGCAUCAGAACAAGCAGACUACCUGGCAGAGCACGUCCAUUGGGCUCCCAGCCCCCUCGGGCAGCAGCUUCACCCGGAACUUCUGCACCCCACCCCUGACGUCCUCCGUCGUCUCAGCCUUGGGCACGGCCCUUACCACCUUGGGGUUCGCCGCACUACCCCCGCGCCCACCCCUAUCCGUCGCUGAGCCAAUCGACCUCCCGUAGUCAUCAAACAGCGCGGAUCCCGACCCCGACCUCGGCGCGGUACCCCUGGCGCCGUACGGCUCCGGUGCGUCGCCGCCGUCGUACGCGUAGACCCCGUCGUCGGACCACCCGCCCCCGCCCGCCGGCCUGGGCGGGUACAGCUCCUGGCCGUACCCGGAGCCGGAUCCGUAGCCGUAGCUCCCCGCCCGAUCCAGCGACGGGUACGGCGACGGCACCGGGUUGUGCGGGGACGGAGGGAGCGGCGGCGGCUCGUAGGUGUAGUACGGGGGCGGGGGCGGCGGCGCGUCGGCCGGAGGCGCGUAGUGGGGGAUGUCGACGGGCUGGGCCGGCGGGUACGCGGGGUACGACGGCGCGGGGGCGAAGUCGGUGGGGUACGGCGAGUACGGGGGCGCGGAAGCCGGGGCGGGCACCGACGGGUAGGUGGCGGGAGGCGGCGCCGCGGGGGAGGGGUAAGGGGGGUAGUAGGGGGCGUAAUCCCCCGCGCCGGAGGGAUGCAUCGCCGGCGAGAGGAUGCUAGGGCUAGGGUUCGGAUCGGGGAGCGGGCGAGGCGUCGGGGGCGAGGUCGGCGAGCUGGGGGGACUGGGAGGGAAGGGGAGGAGGAGGCGACGGGGGGGGCGACCGGUAGGAGGUGGCGCGUUUUUGCGAAAUGGACCCUAGAUGUGGAAUUAAUUUCUAAUAAGGGCCUCCGCCUUGUGAGAAACCUGCCUGCAGGGUGUGAAUUGAAUAUUUAAGCCCCCAGCCACAGCCAGUGUGCAUGCGAGAAUGAUUGUGUUUCAUAUGAGUGAGAAUGAUGGGUUGGAAUUGAUUGGGUCAAGGAUUGAUUAGUCCUGUUUCUCAUUACUGAUUAGCAUUAGAAAGCUUAACCAACUGAACUGAAACUUACAGUUCCAGGAUGAUGAAUUGAUUGGAUCAAGGAUUGCAUUAGAGUAAAAUCACCAACUCAGGUAGACAUGCACUCCACUACUGAAAUUACCAAUCGCCCAACCCAUCACCAUCUUCUUCCUAAAAGAACAUCAGCACGGCAAGCUGCAGUUUCCAUUCGCUCACCCAGGAUGAUCCAGCAACCACAACAAAUUGCCAUGCUUUUUCUGUCACCUGCUCUGCAACCACAACGCGCAAACUGCAACCACAAUUUGCCAACAGGCUGGCCAGUGGGCUUACACAUCUAGAAUCGACAAGGAAAUCUAGAAAUGAAACUGUUGGUCUGGGUAAAGAGAGAAGAUGCCAUUAUUUCAUUUUUGGCAUUGACUUGCACUAAGAUUAUUAACUCCUAUUCAAAUGACAGUUAACGCAACACAGCUUUGAUAGAGAUUUCUAGCCAAGCGCAAGUCAAAACAAGCUCUGAGCUCCGGACAAGGCUAGGCUGCUGGUGAGGAAUGACAUCGAGCAAGCUCAGCCCAACCCUGUCCAAGUGCAUGGAACCGACUUGUCACCGUGCUUGCCGAAAGAGGCAACUUGCACAGUGGGGGGCAGGGAGUUGGUUUCUUGAUUGAGCAAGUGACAACACAUUAAACUAGUCGGUAGCUGUCAUGGUUAGAAAAAUCGGGUAAUUGGCAUUGGCUCCCUUGAUCCUAUGUCAGCGCAUGACAAGAUGAACACUGUCCAAUCAGAAAGAGAAAGAAAUGACGAAUCACGGGCAAUAUAACAAACAUCUGGGGGUAGCAAACGCUUGCGAGCUACUCAACUUAUUUAGAGAAGGAUUAGUUAGCCUACGCGUUAUUAUAUUGAAGGCUUGGUGAUUCAAAUUUAGUAAACAUGCGCAUAUCGUGUUCUUGGAAAAAGAAUAUCUUUGGAAUUGUUGGUAUGAAUCUUGUGAAGCCUGAACUCUGAAGAUUAUCAAGUUGCUUCACUGAAAGAUCUGCCCCAGGAGCCAACUGCAGGUUCAGUUCAUUCGAUCCUCCUCCAUCCCUCUUGAUGUUUUCAGAAUAAAAACACAAGCAGCUAGCGCUGGAUCACUUUCUACAGUUGCAAUAUUUUUCUCAUGAAUAUGUUGCGCAGCUGUACAGUUGAUGAUGUACAUGUUUGUCACUUUCCAUAGGGGCUGAGAGUAGUGAUGUAUGGCUAAUGCUUCUUCUUUACAAGCAGGCAUCCAAAGGUCGGCAAAUACAAACAUAUCCUGCCCACUAUUCAAUAGAAAUUUAGAAUGCACGCAGGCCUUCUUUAGCCUAUAAUUCAAAAGAAAUGCAUGGCAGGGUCAAAAGCCCGAGAUGCAUCUAACUUUCCUGAAAACGACGUUAAGAAAUUCGCAUCUAGAAUGCUCCCCUCGGUUUGGCCUGACUUGGAUUGGCAGAUGAUUGGGGAUUAGAACAAGCAUUAGUGUUGGUUUCUGAAACAGAUACUAGAUGGAAGAUGGACGGGUCAGGACAAAGAUGAAUUUAGGUUCUGGGAUAGGUGAAAAUAUCUAGUACAAGCAGAGCACAAGGAUCAGGCCAAAGUUUCAGACAUCACACAGGGCUAAAGAAAUGAGAUAUAAGAAUACGCGGGUUCUAUCAAGGCAACCACUACACCGUCCCCGGUCCUAUGCAAAUCCUCAAGUGCCAGCUACGCUUUUGACUCAUCAUCUCCUCUGUGUGUGUGUGUGUAUGUAUGUAUGUAUGUAUGUAUGUAUGUAUGUAUGUAUGUAUGUAUGUAUGUAUGUAUGUAUAGUGCCUGUAGAAUAGAUUUUUCCUAUAAUAUAUAUAUAUAUAUAUAUAUAUAUUCCAAUUAUUUGCAUUGCAUUGCGGUUACGCCAUGCUCUGAAUACUGAAUCGAGCGACGCUGGGUGUGAUAAAGAAAUUUACUUUCUGCGAAAUAUCUCUCCAUGGAUUGCAUAGAUUAAGAUGGCCAAUGUGAUCUGUUUGGUUGGGUCAAUGUGUUGCCAGUCUUGUGUGUUGCUGAUGCCACCAGAUAAGGCUACUGGAAAAUGACGCUCUACCUAGAUUACAGUUCGAUCACUCGUAAAAUCGAUCGACCUGACGCGGACAAUCCCUGCUCGCUUUCUCCAAUAUGCAAGGAUAGGAGCAGGCAUAGGUUCGUGAAGUAAACAACAGGAGAAGAUUUACAUGGUGUCAUGGUGAGCUUGGAAGCAUGCACAAUAUAUCCAAGCUAAUGGCCUUGAUGAUGAGAGAACAUAUGUGUAAGAUUGGAGAAUCCACAGCAAUUGGGUGCCCUCUACUGUAUGUUUCAGGAUCUGCAGGGCUGUUGGUUUCUCGUUGAAUUCUAUGGCCGGCCAAUCUGCCAAGCCAUCGAAUUCAUUUGCCAAUCAGCCAAUCCUGCUAGCUCUAGCUGUGGUAGUAGUCUGAUAUAUCCCAGCAUUCAGAACCAUCUUAGUCAUAGGGGCUCAAAUAAUGCAAUUAAAAACCAGGCAGGCACUGUAAAUAUGUAUCUGCCUUCUGCCGAUCGAAGUUGUGGGUUUAGUCAACUGCCUCCAAAAGAUGAUUAGCUAAGCAUGGUGGCAUACGACACAGCCUGCAUCACCAUCUAUCCAUCACCACUUGCUGCAGCUAGCUAGCCUGCAUCCGCGCGCGCGCGUGUGUCUAUAUAUACCUAAGUCCUACAGGGCCAUGAAUGAAAUAUCUCACCGGCUGCAAACUUAUUAGCUCGAUCAGUAUGUAGUAGUGCUGCUAAAGCUAGCUGAGCUGCACUCGAGUAUAUAUCCAAGCAAGAGCAGCAGCCAAAAGCUGAGAGCAUACGCAGCUCGGUGGUGUUGGUGCUUGCUGGUGUUGUCUUUUCUCCUUAUCCAGUUCCAGUUCAAUCGUUCGAUCCCGUCGACCGAUCAUGGCGGCCAACUACCACCACUACCAGAUGGCCGUGCACGCCGCCGCGGCGGCGGCGGCGGCGUGGAGGGAGCCGGACAGCCCGCAGCUGAGCUUCAUGAGCGGCUGCAGCUCCCUCUUCUCCAUCUCGACGCUGCAGGACGACGACGACGGCGCCGUCGUCAUCGCCGGCCACGCGCUGCCCUCCACGCCCGUCUCCCUCGCCGGGUUCGCCGGCGACGAGGUCGACAUGGAGGUGCAGCAGAUCAGCGGCGGCAGCGGCGACGACCGGAGGUCCAUCAGGAUGAUGAGGAACCGGGAGUCCGCGCUCCGGUCCAGGGCCAGGAAGAGGGUCAGUAUACAACCAUGCAUCUAUAUUCGUAUGAAUUCACUUAACUAUAACACACUAUAUCAUGUACUAUCUGAAAGUUCAAAUCUACUCAGUUUUCUGAAUAAAGCGCAUACCGAUGAAAUGAAACUCAAUCCAUAUUGAUUACUAAACGAAGUUAAGCCAUAUAAUUCAUGCUUGAAAAUCUGUCAUUGCUAUUGCAAUCCUCUGUGUUUUGGUGAAACACUUUUUCAAGCUUAAAACUAUUUGGUCCCUAUCAGGAAAUAAAUAAAGUAAUGAGAUACCGCAUUACAGCUGCUUGCUUCGUCCUCAUCAGAAGAAGAUAUACAAGUUUAUACGAUCUGAAUACAUAUACAAGUAGCAUGCGACAGUGAAACUUUAGAGUGGCGGUCACUAGUGAAAAGUGUGUACAAGAUUAAGUAAUUGAAUGUGGUGGCUCUUGCAUCAAGCAUUGAGUUCCUGCCAAUGGUUUCUUAGUUCUGUAGUAUGACCUAAACAUGUAUAUCUCUUCUUUGAGUGCCGCCAAGUUGGAAGGUUAGCACUCUAUAAUCUCAGUACAAAAUUCCCUCCAAAAGAAGCUAACACUGACUUUAGUUGUACCUGCUCCAAGUCUAAGGACGAAAUACUCCAAAAAAAAAGAAGAGUUGAAAAAUAUAUAGAAGAUUCCUGAUGAAUACUCUAGAAAAAAAGAAGAGUUGUACCAGCCACCAAGGAUUCGCAGAACGGCACGUCUACAGUUCUGCAGAAUACUCUAGAAGAUUCCUGAUGAUAAUCACGGCAUCUGCAUCCCAUGUCCAUCAAAUUGGAAGCUUGUGAUUACUAGUUUUUUGACCUUUUGCAUAAUGUUUCUGGAUGUGUUUUAGGUAGAACUUAGAAGUGUCUGAUUGGUUGUACUAGAGACCCCAAAAAUAAUAAAAUUGUCCAAGUUGCAAGAAGAAAUUAUGUGUCUUACUAGUGAUAGUUAUUUUACAAUGAAUCUUGAAUAUAGCUAAAAGCUUCGAGAUUACAUCAAACUAACCACUACUACAAUUUGCUUCAAAAGAAAUAACCACUUUUAGAAUAGUUUAUGUCUUCCACGUAGGCUUACGAGAUGUACAAGACUCUAUAGCUUGAAUCCAGUCUCUCAUGGUAAUGCUUAUGUCGGCUAAAUAAAAUAAUUAUUAAAAAUGCAUAUAAUUUGGUCAGAACGGAGGUCAAUGAAAAACAGCAUCUCAAUCCACCUAUACAUUUGACCAUGACCGGAGUACACCUUUUAACUGAAAAAUCACGCUUUUUCAGAGGAAAACAGCGCACAGUCAGUACACCUGGAAAUGAAAGCCCUGCACAUUCUGAUUCCACAAGUUGAUGUUCGUGUGCAGGCAUACGUUGAGAACCUGGAGAAAGAGGUUCGCCGGUUGGUGGAUGAGAACUUGAAGCUCAAGAAGCAGUGCAAAGAGGUACUGAAUCAUGCAUGCCCGAUGCCUUGUUUACUUCUGAGCAUCAGUGUGUUAUGAACACUCUUAUUCGCCUUCUUUUGCAGCUUAAACUGGAAGUGGCUGCACUAGUCCUCCCUACCAAGAGCUCGCUGCGAAGAACCUCAUCGACGCAAUUCUGAAGGCACAAAGAAGCAUGAACACAUUUUAUUUGCCAGUACAAAAUUAAGAGAAGGGAUGAUUGGACUUGUGUGUACAUGUGUUAGUGUGUGUUUGUGUCCCGUAGGGAAGGGGAGAUAGACGGAUAUGCAAUGAUAUGUACCCUUGACACUAGAUCUCUGCAAAGAUGAACGUCUUUUAAUUUCUUGAGCUGCAAAGGAGCUGUGUUCGACUGAACAAAUCGUAUUUCCCGGCAUCCCUGAUCGUUUCAGGUUGUCCUUCGUACCUAGAGCCAGCCAUACGCAGAUGUCCUGCCGCACAGAUAGGUGAAACUCAAGCUGUGAAUCAGAGUGAUUUGUACUGACCGUCCGGCCAUUUAGCUAUCUUGUGAGCAUUUCAGUGCUAACUCUCACAGACCUCUCAAAAUAUCAUUUAAAGUCCGAAGUAAACAUGUAUAAGUUUUCUUUUAAACAAACCAGACAGGAGAGCUGCCGAUUAUAUUAAAAAGAGGAAACAACAUCCAGACUGCGCACCACAACAACCAAUAACGACACCACCACCGCAGGUACGACCACACAACUCCUCUCAACUCGACUCAAAACAACCAGUUGGAUUGGGACAUCAACACAGUUGGGUAACUCAACUCGAUUCCACUCCAAACCACCCGCCGCGCCACCACCAAGACUCAACCCCGCUGCCUAGGUCGGACCGAGACAUCGACCCAGGCCUCAGCUCACUCUACCCGGUCAGAUUGGGUCGUCGAUCAGAGCCUCUGCACACCCUGUCCGGUCGGAUUGGGUCUUUGACGCGAGCCGCACCAACACAAGCAACAUUUUCUUGUUUUUUUUCAAAGGGGGAAGAAAGAAAGAGAAGAGGUAGCACACCCUGUCGAUGGCCAUCACUGCCAUCCGGAUUAGCCUGACAUCGCCUUUAAGAAGGUUACGUUGCUGAAAGCACCGCCGACACCAACUCAAGAUAGGUUAGGUUUUCACUCGCAACAUCCGGCAUGGAGAAGCGGAGAGGUGCAAAAGGACGCCUCCAAGGAGGUAGUGGCGUUCGCGAACGUCGCCGUCCAAGCUUUCGCCACCACCUCGGCCAAUCCUCAGGAUACGGCAGCAGACCUGACCAUGGCAAGAGUGGUGCGGGUGAUCAAAAUGGGCGUCCCCGUCGUCACCUAGCGCUGCCGUGCACAACAUGGGCAUCCGCGCCGAGCACGCCACCACCAAGGGCUGCGCGCAGACCACGGGACCACCGCAGCCGGGCCCCGCACACCGCAGUGCCGCCAAGCCACGCCCCGCCAUGUCGGGUGGGCACCACCGCCGACGCGCCCCUCCAGCCGCCCAGGUCGCGGACGCCGCUGUAUAGGCCGCGGGGGCCACGGCAGCAGCACCCCGCCGCGAGCCGGCCCGCUGUCGCCGCUCCCAGGCUGCAGACGGCGCCGCCGCCACGCCCAAGCUGUGCCCUGCCGCGGAGAGGCUCUGGGAGAGCAGAUCCGGCAGUGGCCAGCGUGAAUCCGGCCAAGCGCAAGGCAGAUCUGGUCGCGGGUCGUCGGGAAAAGCCACUGCCGCCAUAGACGGACCAGCCACCAAGAGAGGGCGAGGGGGAGGAAAGGAGAGAAAGAAGGGGGAGGUGGAGCCCCGCCGGCGCCUUUCUUGCGGCCGCUCGGGCUUCCGGCGGCAGUUCGGGCAGCAGCAAGAUGGGGGAGCAGAGAUGGGGGGCGGUGGUGCUUGGGGAGCAGCAGGUUUCGCCGAGCCGCCCCCUAGGAGGAGCGACGCGGGGGAGAGAGUAGCAAAUCAAAUAGGUCAAGUUUGAUAGAAACUAAAGAUGGUACAUGUCCACCGUGAAAGAAGAAAAAAAUAACAUUUUCUGAUAAACAACACAUGUGGAAUAUCUUGAAUAAUCGGCAUACAACCGAUGAAACAAUGCAUUAAACUACACUAAAAGAGGUCAAACAGCAUUACUAAUUUACUAUAACUUAGUUUAAAUAUUCUCACUUAACAACCGCCUUGGCAACCGAUCCAUAAACUUAAUAAACAAGACUCUUACAAACCAUAUACAAAUCUGUCCAUCUCCUACUUAUCUAAGUCCAUAUUGUCCUGAUCUAGAGCUGUCAAACUAGUUCCUUCCGCCUCAGAUUCCUGGUGCUUCUGUUCACUAUCCCAGGCUAGGAUAUCCAUGGUAUCCAUGGUUCCAGCCCGCUUCCUGAGAGAGGGUUGCCACAUCAGCAUACCUGGUCGUUUCAGGUGACCAUGUGUAGCUGCACAUAACGAAACAGCUGGCAUUUAGUAAGAAGGAAGAAUUAGAUUCAGAAACAAUCAAAUAGCAUAUGCGCAUCCCAUGCCCUACCAACCAAAAUCACCGCUAAUGCUAUGAAGAGAAACUAUCGACCAACUCCGGUUCUAGAAGGCGAUAACACCCAGGGAUGAUCUAUUUCUGUUGUAACAUCCCAGAUUUUACGUAGAAUGUUAAGGUUGCAAAAAUCGUGAAUUUUAAAAACUUUUCGUGUAUGUGCUCUUAGUUAGGAUCAAAUGCAAGGAUAUUCUCUCCUACCCCGAAUUCCUAGAAAAUUUAACCGAAAUUAAACUAAGGAUGAUAUUGUUAGUGUGUAAUUUUAGAGUCAUUUGGAUUUAUUUGCAAUCUACCUUAUUUAAAAUUUCUGUUGGAUCUUAUUUGAGUUGUUUCUAAUUUGUUUGAUUCAAUUGAGUGGAAUUUAAAUUUGAAUAGAUCAUUCAAAUUCAAAUUCAAAUACUAACUACCCUAAACCAACUUGGGCCAAUAGCCCGAAACCGGCCCACACGAGCACAGCCCGGCCCAACACCUUACCCCCUUUCCCCGCGAGCAUGGCCUAGCCCGCCAGCCGCCUCCGCCUUGUCCCUUUACCCCUCACCCGGGCAGCUGACAAGCGGGGCCCCCUUGUCAGCUUUCCCUUCCACCUCCAGCCGCGCCCCCGCGACGCUUCCGCUUUCGCCCCACGACAAGGCAGGGAAACCGCCGCGCCCUUCGCCUGCAUCACUGUCGCGCCCCCUUCGCCUGCGUCACCCCGCACCCGCGCCUCGCCUGUCCUCGCUCCACGACAUGGGAGCGAAACCGCCGCGCCUUCCUUGUCGGCCACCGAGCCCACACCGCAAACCCUAGCUCGCACCACGCCGUGCGAUGGUGCCACGCGUCUCUGCGCUGCAGCCGUCCCAUCGCCGCCCUCAACAUCCGGGCCCGUGCCGCGAACCCUAGCGCAGCCUCCUUAAGAAACCACCGAGACCGCCGCCAAAAACCCUAGCCGCCUCGGUGUCUUCCUCUUCCACUGCCGCCGCAAUCAAGAGAGAGGAGAAGGAAGGAGGGAAAAGGAAGGAGAAGGAGAGCACGGGGGAGAAGGACGCCGCCGCCGUCGCAAGAGCGUCUUCACCGAGCCAGUGCCCCGAUCGACUACAUCGACGACCCCGCGCUGCCCGGCUCUGCUCUGCCUCGCCACGGCCUCGCCUCUCCACUACCUCGAGAACCGUCUGCCCCAGCCUCGAUCGGUGAGCUUCGCCACUGCUCCCUAUCUCCCUUGUGCUGCCGGCACCAUCAAUGAGCCUUCCCUAGCUCACCUCUAGAACCCUGGCCCCUGUCCCGGCCUUGUGCCCCCAUUUUUGCAGGAGCCCGUCAUGCCGCCCGUGCCUCCUGCCACCUUCGUCGCCUCCUCGCCGCCGCACCGUGCCACAGUCCCGAGACGCCGGUGCCCCGUGCACGGCACGGCCACACCGCGGUCCCGGGAUGCCAGGACUCACGCGCAUGUGUUCACACCCAAACCAUCAGCCAAGCUCGAGCCUGGCCUUGACCCACCGCCGUGCUGCCUCGCCGGCGACGAGCUGCAACCCUGGGAGACCAGGACACCGCGUCCAACACCGACCCAUGCCGAGCCUUGCCACCGGUAGUUUCCCUUUUGCCACGCCGAGCCUUGCCACCGGCUGUUUCCCUUGCCAUGCUGCUGCCUCCGCCGCCGUCGCCGUGGCCACGGUGACCGCGCACGCCACCACGACAUCGCGGCCUGGCGCCCGCGAGCGCCUCUACGGCAUAUUGCCGAGCGCCUCGCAUGCGUCUGCACACACAUACUCGCUAUACACACACGAACACACGCACACAUUCUUGCCGCACCGGAUCCUACUGAGGCCGACGCGUGGGGCCGCCCAGUCAGCGAGAGGAGGAGAAGGAGGAGGGGAAGCCGCCCAGCCCAACACGGCCCAUGGUGCUACCGGGCCCGAAUACACGUCAGCCCGUGAUGAAGCCGAAGCCCAAGCCAGCCUGCUAAACCUCGAGCUGGCCCACGAGCCGACCCGAGUUGAUGGGCCAGAUUGAGCCGGCCCAUCACUUUCAGCCCAAAAAUGUAGCCGAGCCCCUGUUCUAUUUUCCUUUUUCCCAGCCUAACUUGGACCUCGCCUGUCGGCCUCGAGGUGAGACUAAUCAGUAGAUCCCGUGACCUGCUGACCCUGUUGACUGUUGAACGGUCAAUGUUGACCGGUCAACGCUGAUGUCAGCAGGGCCCAUUGCCGACGUCAGCUGGUACUGACCCCCGUGCUGAUGUCAGGCUGACGUCAGCAUGCCACGUGGCACGCUCCGGUGCUGCCAUGUGUCAUUGUUGACUGUUUUUAUUUUUCAAAAUUCUUUUAUUAAUUUCAGAAAUAGAUUUUUUCUUAGAAAAUUCAUAAUAAAUCAACCGGACCUCCGAAAAUUAUGAAACCAGUUCCACAAUUCUUCUAAAAUCAUGAACUACCCAUUAGAGUAGGUUUUGUGUUGAUUUGGGUCUUAUUUAGCAUCUUUUAUGCACUUUUACAAAUAGGACCUAGCUACGAGGAGCUGAUCGACGGCCCGGACCACCCGGAAGCCCAGGAGGACUUCCAAGAACCACCAAGUUCACGCUCAUCUACGAUCUGAUUAACUAUUAGGCAUUAUUUGCUAGACGUGCUACCGCUUCAUGAUGUGUUACUAAGAGAUAAACAUGCAUAGCCUAUUUAUUUACAUGUACUCCUUGCAAUCCUAUUAUACUGUAAUAUUAUAUGAAAUGCCUUGUAUAUGUGUGGGAAUGGAUGGAUAGUCUUGGUGUGAGUGGAGAUACACUUUCCAGAAGUUAGUGAAUAGGGCUUUUAGCCGGGAGCGGGCGAACUUAACUCGAUCAUGGAUCGAGGACUUGGGAUGUGUAUCUUGGCACACCCUACGGAGUAUCUGUGGCGGGUACAACUUAUUGUUACUUGGUUGAGGUGUUGGGGGCACCCGUAAAGGGUGCAGUUGCGGACCAUUGCAGUGGAGAAGCAUAUGAUGAAGAUGCCUGCUUCAGCAAUUGAGAAUCGGGUGAGAGUAACUAUAAUUAGUGGGACUAUAAUAAGCGUGCACGCCAGUUACCCAUUAUGAGGGUGAGCCUGGUCCGGGGCUAGCAAGUGCGAUACCAAGCCGGUAGGAGGAUCGAGUAUCGGUGCAUGGGGAUGAGGUGCUGACCUCACGUUCCCCGAGAUGCAAGGGAGACUUCAUAGUCCCGGGGUGACCUCUUGCAGGAGGAUGCGCCUAAGACCUAGGAAAGCCGGAUGGUGUCGUGGCUCCUGGUCCUGUUUCAGUAGACCGGUGUCUCGUCGCUCAGUCGGCUGAUCCCCGGCUGGUGUCAAUUCGAGUGGGUCCAGGUGUACAACCCCUGCAAGAU
RNAcentral lists this long non-coding RNA (15681 nucleotides) under Panicum hallii. Its description in RNAcentral is "long non-coding RNA (PHAL_LNC000386)". Lineage: Eukaryota; Viridiplantae; Streptophyta; Magnoliopsida; Poales; Poaceae. The record is from RNAcentral.